Molecule: long non-coding RNA, 578 nt
Organism: Portunus trituberculatus (swimming crab)
Lineage: Eukaryota; Metazoa; Arthropoda; Malacostraca; Decapoda; Portunidae
Exons: 2
Source: RefSeq, a predicted model, not a curated record
CAACCCAAUCCAUGAUGAGUAUCACUUUUAACUCUGAUAACUCUUAUUAAAAUCACAUUCAAUGGUUGAUGAAAUAAAAGACUAUCCACAUACUAUCUUUGUUUUCCUUUCUGCUCUCUUAAAACUCAUCUUUCACUUAGAUGUGAUAUCUCUCUCUCUCUCUCUCUCUCUCUCUCUCUCUCUGUCUCUCUCUCUCUCUCUCUCUCUCUCUCUCUCUCUCUCUCUCUCUCUCUCUCUCUCUCUGAAUGCAUUAAAGUAGUUUCAGUAUUAAGCUAUUGUGUACUGUGAUGAUACUCUAAUCCACUCAUCAUUUUCACUGCAAUUCUUUGUGAAAUUUUAUUCAGGUUCACUUCAAUUACGGUUGGAACCUUAAUACAAGCUCCCUAGAUCUUGUGUAUUUGUUAUAUUUCCAAUAACCUAUGUAGAAGACUUAAUUGGAUAUGAAUCGAUAGUGGUUAUUUUUUAUUUGGAUUGUAUUUUGAACGUAGAACAGUAGGUUGUAAAUUGACGAACAAUUUAAAUCUAUAAAAAAUUAUUUUUGUUGAGUGAAACCAGGAAUAAAUAUGCUACCAUAUAAU